This 407-nucleotide ribosomal RNA is filed under the name uncultured bacterium. Its description in RNAcentral is "partial 16S ribosomal RNA". It matches the Rfam family "Bacterial small subunit ribosomal RNA", at positions 28 to 526 of the family's 1533-position model. The record is from RNAcentral.
GACGAACGCUGGCGGCGUGCCUAAUACAUGCAAGUAGAACGCAGUUGCGAACGGGUGAGUACCGCUUAGGUAACUGCGUCAUAGCGGCGGAUAACUAUUGGAAACGCUAGCUAAUACCGCAUACUUUGAGUUGGGCCUACGGUUUAUUAGCUAGUUGGUGAGGUAAAGGCUGAACAAGGCGACGAUACAGAGCCGACCGGAGAGGGGGAGUGGCCCCAAUGGGAAUGAGACACCGCCCCGACUGCUACGGGAGGGCGCAGUAGGGAAUCGUCGGCAAAUGACGGAAGUUCGACCCAGCAACGCCGCGUGAGUGAAAAAGGUUUUCGGAUCCUAAAGCUCUGUUGUUAGAGAAGCGGUAACUAACCAGAAAGGGACGGCUAACUACGUGCCAGCAGCCGCGGUAAUAC